Molecule: ribosomal RNA, 165 nt
Filed under: uncultured bacterium
Lineage: Bacteria
Description: partial 16S ribosomal RNA
Rfam family: Bacterial small subunit ribosomal RNA
Source: RNAcentral
UAGGGAAUCUUCGGCAAUGGACGAAAGUCUGACCGAGCAACGCUGCGUGAGUGAAGAAGGUUUUCGGAUCGUAAAACUCUGUUGGUAGAGAAGAACGUUGGUGAGAGUGGAAAGCUCAUCAAGUGACGGUAACUACCCAGAAAGGGACGGCUAACUACGUGCCAG